GCCCGUUGCUCAUAAUUAUAACAUAAUAUUUUAAUAAAAACAUAUGAAAGUGCUUCAAAAUUUCAAUUUCUUAUGAAAAAACUCCAACGAUCCAGUUAAGGAAUAGUUAACAAAGAAAACGUCUGAGGGUUUAUUUAUUCAUUAUCCAGAUUUUCCAUGGAACUUCUACUUAUUUCUUUCUUCAAGCCAUUCUCUCCAACAUGCAGAAAAUGGCACCUCCAUCUCUGAUAAUAACACACAAGCUUUACCAAAAUACAAGCCUCCAAAAUUAGAAAAAAAGAAGUAAAAGAAAAAGAAAGGAGAGUAAAGAAAAAGAAAAGAGAUAGAGGCCAUUAUAGGGAGCAAGAACAAUCUCUAUCAAUCUUCCUCCAUAAUAGUAUCCAUUAUCUUCACCAAUGGCCUCCUCUUGAUAGAGAUGAACCGUAGCGGUGCUACUUCAAUGGAGAAUCUCCUAACAUCCAUCUAUCUACUCAACAAAAACUUACAGAGAGAGGAAACUUAAUGGGCAUUGAGGGAAAGAAGAAGAGAAGAAGGGUUUUGAUGAUGAAGGAAAAGGUGGUAAUGGGUAUGCCAUUUUAUAAUAAGGGUGUGUAUGGAUUGAUGUGACUGUUUCCAUUUUGGUGCAUAUGGAUUAAUUUGGAAGUUCAUGGAAUUUCGAAAACACAGUACUGAAAAUGAUUUGCCAACCACACGACCGACUUCCAACUUUUUGCAUUAAAUUCAUGGCGUUGCCGUGGCUGCAAGGGAAUUCUCUUAGAUCUUUCCUUCUAGACAAGGUUUUCCAUAACUACCAAACUGCUUUUUGAGCACCUUC
RNAcentral lists this long non-coding RNA (814 nucleotides) under Carica papaya (papaya). Its description in RNAcentral is "long non-coding RNA (CPAP_LNC004186)". The record is from RNAcentral. Lineage: Eukaryota; Viridiplantae; Streptophyta; Magnoliopsida; Brassicales; Caricaceae.